Molecule: ribosomal RNA, 253 nt
Filed under: uncultured bacterium
Lineage: Bacteria
Description: partial 16S ribosomal RNA
Rfam family: Bacterial small subunit ribosomal RNA
Source: RNAcentral
GACAGAGGAUGCAAGCGUUAUCCGGAAUGAUUGGGCGUAAAGCGUCUGUAGGUGGCUUUUUAAGUCCGCCGUCAAAUCCCAGGGCUCAACCCUGGACAGGCGGUGGAAACUACCAAGCUGGAGUACGGUAGGGGCAGAGGGAAUUUCCGGUGGAGCGGUGAAAUGCGUAGAGAUCGGAAAGAACACCAAUGGCGAAGGCACUCUACUGGGCCAUUACUGACACUGAGAGACGAAAGCUAGGGGAGCGAAUGGG